UACAGAGGGUGCGAGCGUUAAUCGGAAUUACUGGGCGUAAAGCGCGCGUAGGCGGCUUUGCAAGUCGGGUGUGAAAUCCCCAGGCUUAACCUGGGAACUGCAUUCGAGACUGCAUUGCUAGAGUAUGGGAGAGGGAAGUGGAAUUUCCGGUGUAGCGGUGAAAUGCGUAGAUAUCGGAGAAGACGUCAGUGGCGAAGGCGGUCUCUGGGACG
This 212-nucleotide ribosomal RNA is filed under the name uncultured bacterium. Its description in RNAcentral is "partial 16S ribosomal RNA". It matches the Rfam family "Bacterial small subunit ribosomal RNA", at positions 524 to 735 of the family's 1533-position model. The record is from RNAcentral.